CAGCCGAGAGACGAGCCGAGCUCCUGCAGCGUGGGUGAGAUGAGGGAAAGGAAGCAUCAGAAGAAUGGAGAAGGUGAGAGGAGAGUGGGUAAGCAGUGCACAGAGACAAAUAAAGACACUGUGAGACUCAAGCAGUGGAAGAGAUGACAAAGUGUGGAUGGGAUGGAGACGAGACUUAAGAGGAGUCCGAGCACGUGACGGACAGGGGCUGCCCUGCUGUCAGCUGAUAUUUGAUUCUCCAAACCACUGCAGCUGUGGAGCUGUGUGCGAGGAUCACUCAUUCAGUGUGGGAUCAGAGCCUUACACUUAGAGGAACAAAGAAGUUGUUUGGAAGCUGCAACAGCCGUGGGUUUACCACAGUCAUGUCUUCAAACGUAACCAUUUGAUGUGUAAUGAUGGUGAGACAUAAGUGGAAGGUGAGUGCUCUCUGGAUGCUGCUUCCCAGUUAACAAGACAGUUGUUAAUGUUCUGCCUGCUGGGAGCACGAAGGAAACACAAAGGUCACACCUCUAUACAGCUCCCAGGUGUGUGUGUGUGUGUGUAUAGGUGAAGCGGGUCAGCUGGUGUUGUGAAUCAGGCCGCUAAAGAGUGAGACACGGCUUCUUCACAACACCAGGGUUCCUCCUCACCACUUCCUGCUGCAACCUGACGAAGGACAAACACAUAUUCCAUGUUGAUGUGUUUACUGUUCAAACUUCUGGAAACAAGGAAACACACUCCUUUUCACCACUUUUCCCACCUAAGGUCACCUAUGUUGACCCAUUAUUGUCACUUUUAAACUGUUUUCACCAUAUUUCAUGCUUAUUUUUGCCCAUUGUUUGUCAGUUUAAAAUAAUUGUUCUUACUUUUUAAAUGGCAUUGCCCCAACCCCCUCCCCCCAUUUCUGCCACUUUUAAGC
Molecule: long non-coding RNA, 898 nt
Filed under: Gouania willdenowi (blunt-snouted clingfish)
Lineage: Eukaryota; Metazoa; Chordata; Actinopteri; Blenniiformes; Gobiesocidae
Source: RNAcentral